Harmonia axyridis is the source of this 501-nucleotide long non-coding RNA. RefSeq lists it as uncharacterized. NCBI's taxonomy places the organism in Eukaryota, Metazoa, Arthropoda, Insecta, Coleoptera, Coccinellidae. The transcript has 2 exons. The record is from RefSeq and is a predicted model, not a curated record.
GUUUGUACUUAAUUGAAGUAGAAUUCAUCGAAAUUUAUAUGAAAAAAUUAGGUUAUGACAUUCUGCUGCAGUAUCCCAAAUACAUUAGAUGUGAUGAAGUUUUCGUUAUUUUGAAGACUAGAAUUAAUUCAAUAAAAUGUCGAUUAAAAUUACAUGUUUUUUAGAUAAAAGUUAUCAAAUUAUGUCACAACAUACACAAUGUAUUUAUUGUGUUCAAACAAAGUAACAUCUAGAAUACCCUAUCUUUUAGAAAGUUCACUUUCAUAAUACUGAAAGUUGAUAUUUAUUACCAUUUAGAACCAGGAAUGGCAAUUAUUGGCAAUAUUUGGAUCAAUGAUUUAGAUGUAUUCGAUAAUAAUGGAAAUCAAUCGGAGGGGAUCAAUGUUUACAUACUUGAAAAUCACAAGAUUGUAAUCUGAAGAAAAAGUUAAAGUGAAAAGAAAACCAUUUUAAGAUUCUUUGAAAAAUAUUCAGAACAUAUAAACCUUUAUAAAUUAAAAC